AGAGUUUGAUCAUGGCUCAGAACGUACGCUGGCGGCACGCCUAACACAUGCAAGUCGAACGAAGUAGCAAUACUUAGUGGCAGACGGGUGAGUAACAUGUGGGUAUCUGCCCUUUGGCCUGGAAUAACACGAGGAAACUUGUGCUAAUACCGGAUAAGUCUUUACGGAGAAAGCUUUAUGCACCAUUGGAUGAGCCCGCACUUGAUUAGUUUGUUGGUGGGGUAAUGGCCUACCAAGACUGUGAUCAAUAGCUGAUUUGAGAGGAUGAUCAGCCACAUUGGGACUGAGACACGGCCCAAACUCCUACGGGAGGCAGCAGUGGGGAAUCUUGCACAAUGGAGGAAACUCUGAUGCAGCGAUGCCGCGUGAGUGAAGAAGGCCUUUGGGUUGUAAAGCUCUUUCGUCGGGGAAGAAAAUGACUGUACCCGAAUAAGAAGGUCCGGCUAACUUCGUGCCAGCAGCCGCGGUAAUACGAAGGGACCUAGCGUAGUUCGGAAUUACUGGGCUUAAAGAGUUCGUAGGUGGUUGAAAAAGUUGGUGGUGAAAUCCCAGAGCUUAACUCUGGAACUGCCAUCAAAACUUUUCAGCUAGAGUAUGAUAGAGGAAAGCAGAAUUUCUAGUGUAGAGGUGAAAUUCGUAGAUAUUAGAAAGAAUACCGAUUGCGAAGGCAGCUUUCUGGAUCAUUACUGACACUGAGGAACGAAAGCAUGGGUAGCGAAGAGGAUUAGAUACCCUCGUAGUCCAUGCCGUAAACGAUGUGUGUUAGACGUUGGAAAUUUAUUUUCAGUGUCGCAGCGAAAGCGAUAAACACACCGCCUGGGGAGUACGACCGCAAGGUUAAAACUCAAAUGAAUUGACGGGGACCCGCACAAGUAGUGGAGCAUGUGGUUUAAUUCGAAGAUACGCGCAGAACCUUACCAACACUUGACAUGUUCGUCGCGACUUUAAGAGAUUAAAGUUUUCGGUUCGGCCGGACGAAACACAGGUGCUGCAUGGCUGCCGUCAGCUCGUGUCGUGAGAUGUUGGGUUAAGUCCCGCAACGAGCGCAACCCUCACUUUUAGUUGCCAUCAUUUAGUUGGGCACUCUGAAAGAACUGCCAGUGAUAAGCUGGAGGAAGGUGGGGAUGACGUCAAGUCCUCAUGGCCCUUACGUGUUGGGCUACACACGUGCUACAAUGGUAUCUACAACAGGAAGCAAAACCGCGAGGUUAAGCAAAUCCUUAAAAGAUACCUCAGUUCGGAUUGCACUCUGCAACUCGAGUGCAUGAAGCUGGAAUUACUAGUAAUCGUGGAUCAGCGUGCCACGGUGAAUGCGUUCCCGGGUCUUGUAGA
This 1332-nucleotide ribosomal RNA is filed under the name uncultured bacterium. RNAcentral describes it as "bacterial SSU rRNA". It matches the Rfam family "Bacterial small subunit ribosomal RNA". The record is from RNAcentral.